AUAAAGUUUUAUUUUAGUUAAAAAAUUUAUUUUAUUUUAAUUUUAUAUGUAAAUGUAUGUAAGAAUUUAUAAUUUUCUUAAGGAAAAUUAUAAUAUUUUAUUCGCAGUAUUUUAUUUUAUAUAUUAAAGAAAUUUAGAUUUAGUUAUAGAAAUUAGUAUGGGUUAAUUUUGUGCCAGCAUCCGCGGUUAUACAAAAUAUACAAAUAAAUUUUAUUAUUUAUAGUUAAAUUGAUUUUUUAAAGUAAAAAUAUAUUAAUAAGGUGAAAUUUAUUAUAUUAUUUAAUUUAUAAAUUAGUUAAUUGAAGCUAGUAAAUUUUUAUAUUAAACUAGGAUUAGAUACCCUAUUAUUGAAAAUGUAAAUUUAAUUGAAUUAGGUAGUAAGAGGUAUAGACUUGAAACUUAAAAAAUUUGGCGGUGUUUUAAUCUAUUUAGAGGAACCUGUUCCGUAAUCGAUAGCCCACGAUAAAUUUUACAUAAUUUUAUUUAGUUUAUAUAUCGUCGUUAUAAGAAGAUUUUAUAAGAAAAAUAAUUUUCUAAUAUUUUUAUUUGAAUAUAUUUCAGAUCAAGGUGUAGCUAAUAAUUAUGAGGAAAUGGGUUACAAUAAUUUUAUUUAUAAUGGAAUAUAAAAUGAAUAUUUUGUAUGAAGGUGGAUUUAAUAGUAAAAUAAUUUAUAUAUUUUGUUUGAUUAUAGUUCUAAAAUAUGCACAUAUCGCCCGUCACUCUCUUUAUUUAAAAAGAGAUAAGUCGUAACAAAGUAGGUGUACUGGAAAGUGUACCUAGAAUGAUCAA
Molecule: non-coding RNA, 789 nt
Filed under: Ctenochauliodes sagittiformis
Lineage: Eukaryota; Metazoa; Arthropoda; Insecta; Megaloptera; Corydalidae
Source: RNAcentral